UCCUUCCAUAGUCCUUAAUGCAUGGAUUCUGGCCAGUGAACCAUCUGAUUUUGGUCAAAAGGACGCUCGGAUCGACUCCCCUGUUUUGUUUGGUUUUUCCGUCCAUUUUCUUGGAUUUUCCGGCCGCAGUCAUCGCCGCCGAUCGCCAGCCGCCGCUCCCCCACCUGUGCCGCCUCGGCUUCCAUUCCCGGUCACCACCAUCACCGGGGAUAAGCUCCCCUAUUCCGAGAAUUAAGGGGGG
Molecule: long non-coding RNA, 241 nt
Filed under: Elaeis guineensis (African oil palm)
Lineage: Eukaryota; Viridiplantae; Streptophyta; Magnoliopsida; Arecales; Arecaceae
Description: long non-coding RNA (EGUI_LNC030137)
Source: RNAcentral